Molecule: ribosomal RNA, 253 nt
Filed under: uncultured bacterium
Lineage: Bacteria
Description: partial 16S ribosomal RNA
Rfam family: Bacterial small subunit ribosomal RNA
Source: RNAcentral
UACGGAGGGUGCAAGCGUUAAUCGGAAUUACUGGGCGUAAAGCGCACGUAGGUGGUUUGUUAAGCUAGAUGUGAAAGCCCCGGGCUCAACCUGGGAAUUGCAUUUAGAACUGGCAAGCUAGAGUAGGGUAGAGGGGUGUGGAAUUCCAGGUGUAGCGGUGAAAUGCGUAGAUAUCUGGAGGAACAUCAGUGGCGAAGGCGACUCACUGGGCCAUUACUGACACUGAGGUGCGAAAGCGUGGGUAGCAAACAGG